This 428-nucleotide long non-coding RNA is filed under the name Lathyrus oleraceus (garden pea). Its description in RNAcentral is "Pisum sativum (pea) long non-coding RNA (PSAT_LNC006885)". Lineage: Eukaryota; Viridiplantae; Streptophyta; Magnoliopsida; Fabales; Fabaceae. The record is from RNAcentral.
AUCUGACACUUGUGGCAUUUCUUCACAUAUUUGCAGCAGUCAGACUCCAUUGUCAGCCAAUAGUAGCCUGCUCUCAACAUCUUCUUUGCCAUGGCAUAUCCUAUGAAUCUUAUCCGCAUAAAUCUGACACUUGUGGCAUUUCUUCACAUAUUUGCAGCAGUCAGACUCCAUUGUCAGCCAAUAGUAGCCUGCUCUCAACAUCUUCUUUGCCAUGGCAUAUCCAUUGGAAAGAGUGCCAUAUGAACCCUCAUGGACUUCAGUCAUCAACAGGUCUGCUUCGUGUCUAUCCACGCAUUUGAGCAGAACCAUGUAAAAAAAUUUCUUAUAAAGCACAUCGCCAUUGAGGUAGAAACUGUCUGAUAAUCUCCUCAAAGUCUUCUUAUCUUUAACAGAUGCCCCAGGUGGGUAAAUCUGACUCUGAAGAAAAC